Molecule: long non-coding RNA, 1020 nt
Filed under: Lathyrus oleraceus (garden pea)
Lineage: Eukaryota; Viridiplantae; Streptophyta; Magnoliopsida; Fabales; Fabaceae
Description: Pisum sativum (pea) long non-coding RNA (PSAT_LNC004124)
Source: RNAcentral
AAAGUUUAUCGAACUUUAACACAUACUUACAGAUUUCUUUACACAAUGCAACAUAAAUAAAUAAAACAGAAUGCAACCAAAUGUGUUAAAGAUGUUUUCGAUUUGCAAUGUUAUCAAGUCGAAAACGAAAGGAAACACGCAAAAGCUUGAAACUUGAAACCGAUACAAAAUUUAUUGAGAAGAAGAAACCAAACAGUUCCAAAACCACAUAAUAGAAAUAGAAUAAAAACAAACCGGAUUAUAGUCAUUUUUUGCGAAUCAUUGAGUUGUGCGUUCGAAGACUAUGCGUUUUUGUUGUUGUUGUUGUCGUUUCGUCUGCUGAUGAAGUUUUGUUGUUGUUGUAUCACUGAAAAUGCAUGUGUGUCGAUGGAGUUGUGCUUCAUUUUGAGAAAAGGUUCGAUUCGUGUUCGUCGGUGUUUGAGAGAUGUGGUGAUGGUCUGUGAGGCGCUCGCGUGACAAAGGAGGGAUCGUUUGUGUUUGUCGGCGGUAAGAGGUUUGUGGUGGUUGUUUGGGUCGGUGAGCGGCGGUAUGCAACGGUGGUGCACGGUUGAAGGAGGUGAGUUGUUCUGGUGAUGGAGGAAUUUCUUUGACGGUGGAGUGAUGAUGGUGAAUGGAGAAGAGGAACAAUAGUCCUCUCUUUUCCGUUUCUUGUUUUUCUUUCUAAGAGUGAGUGAAUUUGUGGUAGGUUUUUUUUAGAGCUGUGGGAGUGUGAACGCAAAGCCUUUUUAUUGAGAGAGAGGAAAGUGGAUUUCUGUUUUCUUCUUUUUUCUCCUUUUUGUUGGUUAGUGGAGAGGGAGUAAGUAAUAGGUGAGGUGGAGUGUGGAGGUGGUUAAGAGGAAACGUGAGGGAGAAGGAGAGUGGGAUAGGUGGCGUGCAGGUGAGAGGAAAGAGAUAUCUAUGAGUGGUAGGUGAUAGCUGUUAACUUAAAAAAAAAAAGAGAAUUCAAUGCCACCUUAUUUUAACAUUAUUAUUUUGAAAACCAUUUAUUCAUUUUUAACUAAAAUAUGAUUAUCACAAAUA